Molecule: ribosomal RNA, 601 nt
Filed under: Pseudoalteromonas nigrifaciens
Lineage: Bacteria; Pseudomonadati; Pseudomonadota; Gammaproteobacteria; Alteromonadales; Pseudoalteromonadaceae
Description: bacterial SSU rRNA
Rfam family: Bacterial small subunit ribosomal RNA
Source: RNAcentral
ACUUUGCUGACGAGCGGCGGACGGGUGAGUAAUGCUUGGGAACAUGCCUUGAGGUGGGGGACAACAGUUGGAAACGACUGCUAAUACCGCAUAAUGUCUACGGACCAAAGGGGGCUUCGGCUCUCGCCUUUAGAUUGGCCCAAGUGGGAUUAGCUAGUUGGUGAGGUAAUGGCUCACCAAGGCGACGAUCCCUAGCUGGUUUGAGAGGAUGAUCAGCCACACUGGGACUGAGACACGGCCCAGACUCCUACGGGAGGCAGCAGUGGGGAAUAUUGCACAAUGGGCGCAAGCCUGAUGCACCCAUGCCGCGUGUGUGAAGAAGGCCUUCGGGUUGUAAAGCACUUUCAGUCAGGAGGAAAGGUUAGUAGUUAAUACCUGCUAGCUGUGACGUUACUGACAGAAGAAGCACCGGCUAACUCCGUGCCAGCAGCCGCGGUAAUACGGAGGGUGCGAGCGUUAAUCGGAAUUACUGGGCGUAAAGCGUACGCAGGCGGUUUGUUAAGCGAGAUGUGAAAGCCCCGGGCUCAACCUGGGAACUGCAUUUCGAACUGGCAAACUAGAGUGUGAUAGAGGGUGGUAGAAUUUCAGGUGUAGCGGUGAA